CAGUAGCCGCGGGAAUACGUAGGUGGCAAGCGUUGUCCGGAAUUAUUGGGCGUAAAGGGCUCGCAGGCGGUUUCUUAAGUCUGAUGUGAAAGCCCCCGGCUCAACCGGGGAGGGUCAUUGGAAACUGGGAAACUUGAGUGCAGAAGAGGAGAGUGGAAUUCCACGUGUAGCGGUGAAAUGCGUAGAGAUGUGGAGGAACACCAGUGGCGAAGGCGACUCUCUGGUCUGUAACUGACGCUGAUGUGCGAAAGCGUGGGGAGCGAACAGGAUUAGAUACCCGUGUAGUCCCUGUCUCUUAUAA
RNAcentral lists this ribosomal RNA (301 nucleotides) under uncultured bacterium. Its description in RNAcentral is "partial 16S ribosomal RNA". It matches the Rfam family "Bacterial small subunit ribosomal RNA", at positions 509 to 809 of the family's 1533-position model. The record is from RNAcentral.